AAGUCGUAACAAGGUCUCCGUAGGGUGAGUUAUUACCGGCUUUCGACGAUUAUAUUGAACAAAUGCUAACAGUUUUUUUUUAGUGAACCUGCGGAGGGAUCAUUACUGAGUGAGGGCCUUUUGGCUCGACCUCCAACCCAUUGUAAUUCAAACCUAUGUUGCCUCGGGGGUGACCCGGCCCCGCAGUCGGGCCCCCGAAGGACCAUUCAUUUAACACUGCAUCCAUGCGUCGGAUUUUAAAAGUUUAAUUGUUUAAAACUUUCAACAACGGAUCUCUUGGUUCUGGCACCGAUGAAGAACGCAGCGAAAUGCGAUAAGUAAUGUGAAUUGCAGAAUUCAGUGAAUCAUCGAGUUUUGAACGCACACUGCGCCCCUUGGUAUUCCGGGGGCAUGCCCGUUCGAGCGUCAUUUCACCACUCAAGCCUGGCUUGGUAUUGGGCGAUACGGGGGUGACCGCGCCCGAAAGUCUGUUCGGCUGGAAAGCUCUGAUCUCAGCGUCGUGGUUUUAAUCAAAAUCGCUGGCGAGAGGGGCGGUCCACGCCGUGAAAUCUUUCUCAGGUUGACCUCGGAUCGGGUAGGAAUACCCGCUGAACUUAA
This 597-nucleotide ribosomal RNA is filed under the name uncultured fungus. RNAcentral's name for it is "eukaryotic LSU rRNA". The stretch from base 257 to 408 matches the Rfam family "5.8S ribosomal RNA". The record is from RNAcentral. Lineage: Eukaryota; Fungi.